Molecule: transfer RNA, 75 nt
Filed under: Veillonella sp. oral taxon 780
Lineage: Bacteria; Bacillati; Bacillota; Negativicutes; Veillonellales; Veillonellaceae
Also listed under: 4 other names
Description: tRNA-Gln
Rfam family: tRNA
About the family: Transfer RNA (tRNA) molecules are approximately 80 nucleotides in length. Their secondary structure includes four short double-helical elements and three loops (D, anti-codon, and T loops).
Source: RNAcentral
AGGGGUGUAGCCAAGCGGUAAGGCAUCGGACUUUGACUCCGACAUGCGAUGGUUCGAUCCCAUCCACCCCUGCCA